GUGUGUGUGGUCAACAACAGUGUCGGUCAGGGAGUUUGACUGGGGCGGUACGUCUGUCAAAUGGUAACGCAGGUGUCCCAAGGCGAGCUCAGCGUGGACGGAAACCACAUGUCGAGCAAAAGGGCAAAAGCUCGCUCGAUCUCGAUUUUCAGUACGAUAACUGGAUCAGAAGAGAGUGUGUAGAGAAAGAGUGAUAUGGAGGGAGAUA
This is a long non-coding RNA of Octopus sinensis (East Asian common octopus), 208 nucleotides long. RefSeq lists it as uncharacterized. NCBI's taxonomy places the organism in Eukaryota, Metazoa, Mollusca, Cephalopoda, Octopoda, Octopodidae. The record is from RefSeq and is a predicted model, not a curated record. The transcript is spliced from 5 exons.